Nerophis lumbriciformis (worm pipefish) is the source of this 133-nucleotide non-coding RNA. NCBI's taxonomy places the organism in Eukaryota, Metazoa, Chordata, Actinopteri, Syngnathiformes, Syngnathidae. The record is from RefSeq and is a predicted model, not a curated record.
AUGCACUAUUCGUAACCUGGUUCCCCCCACCGUGGGAACACUGGUUCCAUUCUGGUGCUAAAUUGAGCUCCAGUGAGGCAGGGGAGUAGCGCCCCUCUUGUGCUCGCUCCCUGUUCACUCUCUGGAAACACUU